Molecule: ribosomal RNA, 589 nt
Filed under: Lentinula edodes (shiitake mushroom)
Lineage: Eukaryota; Fungi; Basidiomycota; Agaricomycetes; Agaricales; Omphalotaceae
Description: partial 18S ribosomal RNA
Rfam family: 5.8S ribosomal RNA (bases 232-385)
Source: RNAcentral
UUUGGUGGUGGAUGUUGCUGGCCUUUGGGUAUGUGCACAUCCUCCUCCGAUUCCAUUCCUCCCCCUGUUCCCUUUUUUUUAGAAUUUUUUUCUUCGGUUUUUAACAGGGGGUCCUUACUAAUUAACUUGGGAAGGACUAUUUAAAAAGACUUCUAUGUUCUUAUAAACUAUUGAAUUAUGUUAUAAAAGGAUUUUGUUAUGGGAAUUUUUUGGACCCUUUAACUUUAUUACACCUUUCACCACCGAACCCCUGGGUUCUCCCUUCAAUAAAAAACCCACCAAAUGGCAAUAAGUAAGGGGAAUUGCAAAAUUCAUGGAAUCAUCAAACCUUUAAACCCCCCUUGCCCCCUCGGGAAUUCCGAAGGGCAUGCCGGUUUAAUGGCCAUUAAAUUCCCAACUUAAUAAUUUUUUGCUUAUUAAAGCUUGGAUAUUGGAGGCUUGCAGGCGUCUGGUCACCUCUUCUUAAUUGAAUUAUGGGAACCUGUUUGUUAGUUUCACCUUGUUGUAAUAUUACUACAUUUGGUUUAGCAUUCUUACAUAAUCUCGCUCGAUUGUUUGGUGAUGCAUUUACUAGCCGAUCUGUUCACGC